GAUGAACGCUGGCGGCGUGCCUAACACAUGCAAGUCGAGCGAACAGACGAGGAGCUUUCUCCCCUGACGUUAGCGGCUGACGGGUGAGUAACACGUGGAUAACCUACCUCUAAGACUGGGAUAAUUACGGGAAACCGGAUCUAAUACCGGAUAAUAUAUUGAACCGCAUGGUGCAAGAGUGAAAGACGGUUUUGCUGUCACUAAUAGCCGAAUCCGGGCCGGAUUAGUUAGUUGGUAAGGUAACGGCUUAGCAAGGCGACGAUGCGUAGCCGACCUGAGAGGGUGAUCGGCCAGACUGGAACUGAGACACGGUCCAGACUCCGACGGGAGGCAGCAGUAGGGAAUCUUCCGCAAUGGGCGAAAGCCUGACGUAGCAACGCCGCGUGAGUGAUGAAGGUCUUCGGAUCGUAAAGCUCUGUUGUUAGGGAAGAACAAAUGUGUAAGUAACCAUGCACGUCUUGACGGUACCUAAAGAGUAAGCCACGGCUAACUACGUG
This 497-nucleotide ribosomal RNA is filed under the name uncultured bacterium. Its description in RNAcentral is "partial 16S ribosomal RNA". It matches the Rfam family "Bacterial small subunit ribosomal RNA", at positions 28 to 507 of the family's 1533-position model. The record is from RNAcentral.